UCCUCAGACCAGCAUCCUCCUCACUCUCUUCGGUCUGCAAUUAGGGUUUUUCUUGCGGCCGUCAUAGCCGAUCGACCGCCCAGCAUCCUAAAUCGAUUAUCAGUUAUUGUUGGGUUUUUGAUUGUUCCGAGUUAGGGUUAUCCAUCGGACUAUUGACCACUGGGGCUGAAGUUUGGCUCCUCGGCUUCUAUAAACCGCCGUGCCUUGGAGAUGAAUGCAGCUCCUAUACCAAUCAGUCGCCCUUUCUUCACCCAAUUCGCCACGAUCUCCAUGUCCGGUAGUAUCUGGUGGGUUCGUUAGGAAGGCUGACAUUUUUCUUUCUUAAAUUUGGAUUUCCUUGCUUUUCCUUUUUUGAUUCAUAUAUUGCGGUGGUGGGGGAGCGGGGGAAGGAAUCGAGAAUCGAGUGGUAAUUCAGGCAACCUCCCUGCGGCGGCCAUGGCAGGGAAGGUGUUUAACUGCUCGGAAAUCGAUUUGCUUUUGCUCUUCAGACUUGCUGAGAUUGCUCUCUGAAGCUGGUCUAGUAAGCUCUAGUACAUCUUUUACAUCCCUUUUCUCCCCCUUACCAAACCAAAGGGAAAAAUCCCAUUUUUUUCCACCAGUUUGUCAUGAUUUCUGAAAUUUUUAUCUGAUCUGAUUUAAGGAACUGCAAAAUCUUAAGAAGAUUAACGUUGACAGAUCAAUAUUGAAGUUGUCAGAGAAGGAGAGAGCUGAUUUUUAUUGUAGGACUAGGUGUAGUUAGUUGCUGCCCUGUGGCUCGCGGUGACUUUGUCGAUUGACGAUAGUUUUUUUAUUGAGUAAACUAACAAUUUUACCAUGGAGAUUGAUGUGACAUACCUCAAGAAAUUUUUACAGUUAAGUGUACCUCUACUGUUUGGGUGCUGUUCAAUACUGAAAGGAAAUAUCUUAUGUGAUUAUUUUUUUAUUUUUUUACGUCAAUUUUGAUCUCGACUUAUAAAAUAUACAUUAUAUUGCUCCUUUCGUUAGAGAGCUUCAUCGAGUUUUUAAUGGUAGAUGGACAAAAGGGAGAAUAUGACUUACAUUUGAUAGGUCAACAUCAAUUGAUGUAAAAUUAUUUUUGAUGUCAAAUUUGAUAUGAUAUUGAUUUUUUUUGGGAAAAAUUAUUAGUUUACUCGUUUUUUAUUCAAUUCAUUGGCGAAAGUCGAUUAUGAUAUAUGGAGAAUCACUGUAAGAUGGAGCAUCGAGCAUACCGUGUUCGGUUUCAAUUGCCUGCAUGAAUUCGAUCAGCCCUCAGCCCGAGUUGAAGCCGUGCAGGGAAAUUGCGGAUUGAUCAUUAACGUGAUUUCUUUCAAAAUAGAUCUUGGAGGGAAAAGAUGUGCGGAAGGAAUUUUCUGGCAUCAUGACACAUUCCAUUCGCAUUUUGAUCCUUGGCUCAAAACAUGUGCAUGUCUGAUUGUGCGUCUAACUGCCUAAAGUCUCUUCAUUGUGGCUGUGUUGGAUCUAUUUAAUGGUGUUCUUGACUCUUCACUGCUAUGGAAGGGAAUAGUUCAGUUCUAAUCUACGCGGCAAACUGCGACUCAUCAUAGUCAAGGACUCGAUUUCUGACCUUUCCAGGAUGAUAAACUCAAGGCGCGUCCACUCCGCAUUCGAUGGAUGCUGUGCCGUUAUAGGAUGCUCAUCCAAUCCCGAACUCUAUGAUCAGAACUGUCCUACCAACAGGAUAGGAAAGACUAGACAUUGUUUCGAAUAAAUCGAUCUAAUGAGAAGUGCACUUUGGGAAUGAAUCAGCAAGCCCCACACUGAUUAAUUAGAAAUCACACCCUGUAGUUUUGGAUUGUGCAUAAUUACGAGAAAAUAUUUAAUGAUUAUUCAUUCAUUUUGGAUGAGUAAGAUUCAAUUAAAAUGUUUGUAAGUGAGAAUUAUUCAUUGCGUAAUCAGUUUUUCAUUUUUAAAUAUUUUCAUUGGAUAUUACACAUUCAUUUGGAUGUGUAAUACUCACUUCAUAUUCGCUCAAUAUUUGCCAAAAUAUGAGUCCUGUUUUGCUAAACCUUCAGGUCAAGUCCAAGCUGAAAUUGAAGUUCAAGUACAAAAUAGCAAAGCCGAGUCUGGCAUUAUUUAUCUAUUUAUUUAUUCUUAUUUUUCUGUCGUCAAUGUUCUGGAUAGGUAGGGGGUUAUUUUUUCUUUUAUUUUUUUUAUAUUCACCAAAAUGGGCUGAUCUUGUACUAAUAAGGUCUCAUCUUGAAGUUCAUCACCUUCAAGCGGGCCUAUCAUUCACAGUCAUGAGAGGAUUCUCACGUGAAUGAAAGGCAUGACUUAAAUGAACUUCUCAGAAAUUAGAAUAUCCAUUUUCUAUCAUUAAAUACUGAAAUUUGGGUGAACUUUAAUGAUCCAUGUGAUUUCAUAAAUGGAUAGCCAUAUUUUUUUUUUUUGUAAUUUUUUCAAAUUUCGAAUAUUUGUCAUUCCUAUUUUUCUGGUUGUGGCUAGGGGUGUGUACGGAUACUGAGUAUAUCCGGAACCGGUCGGAACCUACCCGUUAGGAUAGAGUCCACGUAACUCGUAUUGAAAAUUGGGUAGGGUUCGAGUAUUAAAAUGAGGAACCAGUUCCGAUUCUUGAACAUAGGGUAUCCAGAACCGGAAUCGGAAUCCGAUUACUAAUUUAAAAAAAAUAUAUAUAUAUAUAUAUAACACCUUCGCCUCCUCUGUCGUUCUCACUCUGUUCUCGCCGACUCUUCUCUCCAUUCCCCUUUCUCGAUUUUUCUGAGCUAAGCUCCAAUCCUACCCAGGUUUUCGUUUGCCGGCGUCUAGUUCUUCGAUCUCACGGUCGCCCCUGGCUGGUCAGGUUGUAGGGAGACGCUUCUUCACUCUCCUUCAGGGUUGUAAUCCGAUUCCAAUGGUUGCUGAUCCAGAAGUAUUUGUGGUUCAACUAAGAUCAUAUCACUUGUUCUUUGUCGUUGCGAGUGAUGGUGUCUUUGAGUUCUUUUCGAGCCAAGCUGUUGUCAACAUGAAGCCCGGCAAUUGUGAUCCCAUCACAUACACAUCAUCAGACUUUGCAGAUGGUAAGUAUAUGGAGACUCUAAUUUCGCACUGCAGCCCUUUCUAUGGGACAACAUUUACUCAUGAAUUUAAUUCUUGUAGAUAAAAAAUUGUGAAAGAUAGGGUUGUCUUUCGAAUAUGCCUGCACAUAUCUUUCUUAUGUUGAAUAUGAAUAUUUGGUUGGUCACAAGAUGGGGGCUAAGAGCUGUUCGAUCAGAAUUCUGAUUUGUUACUUUUGGCAAGGCUGCUAUUUCAUCCUCUGUUGACUACAUUCUUUGUCAACACUACGAGUCGGAGGACUCAUUUCUCUGCUAUGGCCUUGCAAUUUCCGUAACUGUAUAGGACAUGAAUAGAUCAUGAGAGAAGAGAGUAAGAACUCCCAUUUGGUUAGUUUCGGGAGGGGAGAGGGGUUUUGUGAGAUUGUCAUUCCACUACUAGAUCAAUGUGUAUUCAUUUAUGCUGAAUUCGGGCAGUACUGGUAGAUUAUGUCAUUCCACUACUAAAAAAAAUUUACAGGUUCCAAUAGGGUACCCGGAACCUGUGACAUAAUAUAGGUUCCGGUUCCAUGAUUCAAUAGGAUAGGGUCCGAUUCCAAAAUUUUGGAACAUGUACCUUACAGGGUAGGGUCCGGGUAUUGUGAAAAAUACAGGGUACCCGAACCCGAUCACCCCUAGUUGUGGCAAUUAACUAAGUAUCUAGUGUGAUUACGAUGACGCGACACCAUUAAAUAUUAUUUAAUAUUUUAAAAAUUAUAAAAUUUAAUCGAAAAAUUCUAAAAAGAAAACUAAAAAUAGAAAAAAGUGGAAGCAGUAGGAGGAGACUAGCA
Molecule: non-coding RNA, 3817 nt
Organism: Punica granatum (pomegranate)
Lineage: Eukaryota; Viridiplantae; Streptophyta; Magnoliopsida; Myrtales; Lythraceae
Source: RefSeq, a predicted model, not a curated record